Molecule: ribosomal RNA, 446 nt
Filed under: uncultured bacterium
Lineage: Bacteria
Description: bacterial SSU rRNA
Rfam family: Bacterial small subunit ribosomal RNA
Source: RNAcentral
AACGAACGCUGGCGGCAUGCCUAACACAUGCAAGUCGAACGAGACCUUCGGGUCUAGUGGCGCACGGGUGCGUAACGCGUGGGAAUCUGCCCUUGGGUUCGGAAUAACAGUUAGAAAUGACUGCUAAUACCGGAUAAUGUCUUCGGACCAAAGAUUUAUCGCCCAGGGAUGAGCCCGCGUAGGAUUAGCUAGUUGGUGAGGUAAAGGCUCACCAAGGCGACGAUCCUUAGCUGGUCUGAGAGGAUGAUCAGCCACACUGGGACUGAGACACGGCCCAGACUCCUACGGGAGGCAGCAGUGGGGAAUAUUGGACAAUGGGCGAAAGCCUGAUCCAGCAAUGCCGCGUGAGUGAUGAAGGCCUUAGGGUUGUAAAGCUCUUUUACCCGGGAUGAUAAUGACAGUACCGGGAGAAUAAGCCCCGGCUAACUCCGUGCCAGCAGCCGCGG